UAUAUGACGUACCGUCGGCAUAUGGACACGUCAUUGAAUUUUGUGUCUUCGUGGCCGGAAAGUUUGAUUUGGAAGAGUUUUUCUAAAUUUUAUAUUUAAUUUUAUAGGUUUUGUUCGACAUUGCAGUCAGCAUAAUUCAACAAGAGAUAUGGAUCAAAUCGUUAAAUUCGUUGAGCCAGGUCGUCAGUUUGCUAAGGACUCCAUUAGAUUAGUAAAAAGAUGUACAAAACCAGACAGAAAAGAAUUUCAAAAAAUAGCAAUAGCCACUGCCAUCGGAUUUUGUAUUAUGGGAUUUAUUGGAUUUUUUGUGAAACUUAUCCAUAUCCCAAUUAAUAAUAUUAUUGUAGGAUCAUAAAAGACGCUUUUUUUGUUAUACACAAUCUGCAACUAUUUUUUAUUCAUAGUUUAUUUAUUUUGUAUCAAUUUUUCAAAGUAAUUGGAUGUAUCAUCUGGUUAUGAUGUAUUAUUAGUUUUAGUUGUCUUAAGGCAUCAAUAAAACUAUUUUCUAUAAAUA
This is a long non-coding RNA of Sitophilus oryzae (rice weevil), 514 nucleotides long. RefSeq lists it as uncharacterized. Lineage: Eukaryota; Metazoa; Arthropoda; Insecta; Coleoptera; Curculionidae. The record is from RefSeq and is a predicted model, not a curated record. The transcript is spliced from 3 exons.